Molecule: unclassified non-coding RNA, 293 nt
Filed under: uncultured fungus
Lineage: Eukaryota; Fungi
Description: sequence contains ITS2
Rfam family: 5.8S ribosomal RNA (bases 1-52)
Source: RNAcentral
AACGCACCUUGCGCCCUUUGGUAUUCCGAAGGGCAUGCCUGUUUGAGUGUCUUUAAAUUCUCAACCUUGGAAAGCUUUUGUUUUCCAUGGCUUGGAUGUGGAGGUUGCGGGCUUUUCUAAGUCGGCUCCUCUGAAAUGCAUUAGCUGGGUUUGCGCCUUCAGCCUAUUGGUGUGAUAAUUAUCUACGCCUCUUGGUUGUUAGCGUGUUUUACUUUCCAGCUUCAAAUCGUCCUUCAUUGGACAAUAUUUGACUAUUUGACCUCAAAUCAGGUAGGACUACCCGCUGAACUUAA